Alligator mississippiensis (American alligator) is the source of this 1750-nucleotide long non-coding RNA. RefSeq lists it as uncharacterized. The record is from RefSeq and is a predicted model, not a curated record. The transcript has 5 exons. NCBI's taxonomy places the organism in Eukaryota, Metazoa, Chordata, Crocodylia, Alligatoridae.
UGAAAUAUGUGGAGAAUGGAUGGUGGCCAUAUACUGAAGGAUCUCUUGUAUGGAAAACUCUUUUCAGGAAGAAAAUCAGACACACUUCCUUAUCUCUGGUUCAAAGAUGCUUGCAAGAUGAAGCAAUGAACAUCAAACCAAAUGACUGGAAGAAGAUUGCUAAGGAUCGAAGCACUUAGAAAUAGUCUAUUAAGCAUGGAAUAAAGGCUUUUGAGGAAAGAGAAGCCCAAUGUGUGGAGGAAAGAAGAAACCUCAAGAAGAACCCUGCACCACAUUCAGGAUUGUUCAAUGUGAAUUUCAAAAGGUUCGAUGUCUUCCCACUCUCGGCUGGCCAUAUCUGGGAUCCAGUGCUCCAUCUCCAUGCGGCGUUUUCUUUCCUGCAUCCCUGUUCUGGCUGCACUUCUGGUCUCUGGCAGUGUCCUCUCUCGGGUUUGACAUCGUCCCACUCCCAGCUGGCCAUAUCCGGGAUCCAGUGCUCCGUCUCCGGAACUUCUUCUAGGAGCUGGCUGUAGUCUAUAGCCUUCUCUCACCAGUUAGAUUAUUGUACUAAAGCAAUUGUGUCCUGAGCUCUGCAGUGUGGGAUGUUGAAGUGAUAGCACACACCCAAGGCAGCAGAACCACAAGUAGUUGAAGACAGAUGCUAGGAUCACAGCAGGAGCUGCAGCAGCCAUACCAGUAGCAUGUGAGGAUGCCUCUCUCCAGACCAUUUGGAUUUAGAGGGUGAGAAAUGGAGACUACUUUUCAAUUGCUCUGAUGAUCUUCAAAUCACAGUUCAUAGAAAGAGCUUUCUUGGAUUAUUAAAGUGGCUGAGACAUGUCGAUGGACUAAGGCAUGCAGUAGUCGACUGAAAAGGUCAGAAAAGCACCUGUACUCUGAUAUUGUACUAAUUCUGAGGGCUCCAUUCAGCAAAACCCACCAAAGGAGAAACACUUCUCUAAUGAAAUAGUAAAUGUAUUAAUUAAUGCUUUAAAUGGGCUUAGUAACACCGCAUUUUCUCUAGAUUUUUUAAAUAUUUCCCAUAAAAGUACAAACUAGUAACAAUACUGACUUCAUUCCCGUACCCAGGGGAAUAUGCCCUACCUGGGUUCCAUGCAUCUUGGGUUUCAAAGUACAGAGCAAGCGGAAAUACUCAUCUUCAUACUCUCACCUAAGAGCAGAUAUUGGGAAAUGGGGACAGAAGGAUGGGAAGGUUUAUGAGCCUUGACUUUAUGACCUCUACUCAAGGGCCAGACUGGUGAUAUAGCUCAGCAGCAUGAUACUAUCCCCAAGAAGCUGAGAGGAAGGAUGGGAGCUAUUGUGACUCAGGUGUUUCUUUGAACCCUAAUUCCUCUUGCAUCUUAUAUAACUCCUCAAGAAGUUAUGCUGGGCUGUGCCCAGUAUCACAGUCUUGCCCAAGAAGAGUAAGAACUUGUAUUAGAGCUAUUGUGGGUCAAACUGUGAUCCCCUUCUUCACUCUGAAUAGUAACUUACUCUCUAGGAAAGUACAGUAGAAUAACUUACUCUACAGGAAAUCCAGUGAAGUCACUGGGUGAAUAUCUUAACCCUAUGGAAAUCAAAAGAGAUAUCGUCUUUGAUUUCUGGGGGGGAAUCCAGAUUUCACUGAAUUUGGAGUAGAGUGCAGCCCAAUGUAAGGAAAGGGUGUCAGAGCAUGGCCCCACAUUUUUGAUUUUCAAUAACAUGCCUGACAGUGUCUCACUUGUUUUCAUGUCAUUCCAAAAGAAAGGCAAAUCAAGGCUUAGGUUAUUUUUAU